AGUGAACGCUGGCGGUAGGCCUAACACAUGCAAGUCGAACGGCAGCACAGUAAGAGCUUGCUCUUACGGGUGGCGAGUGGCGGACGGGUGAGGAAUACAUCGGAAUCUACUUUUUCGUGGGGGAUAACGUAGGGAAACUUACGCUAAUACCGCAUACGACCUACGGGUGAAAGCAGGGGAUCUUCGGACCUUGCGCGAUUGAAUGAGCCGAUGUCGGAUUAGCUAGUUGGCGGGGUAAAGGCCCACCAAGGCGACGAUCCGUAGCUGGUCUGAGAGGAUGAUCAGCCACACUGGAACUGAGACACGGUCCAGACUCCUACGAGAGGCAGCAGUGGGGAAUAUGAGACAGUGGGCGCAAGCCUGAUCCAGCCAUACCGCGUGGGUGAAGAAGGCCUUCGGGUUGUAAAGCCCUUUUGUUGGGAAAGAAAAGCAGCAGGUUAAGACCCCGCUGUUCUGACGGUACCCAAAGAAGAAGCACCGGCUAACUUCGUG
This 492-nucleotide ribosomal RNA is filed under the name uncultured bacterium. Its description in RNAcentral is "partial 16S ribosomal RNA". It matches the Rfam family "Bacterial small subunit ribosomal RNA", at positions 29 to 507 of the family's 1533-position model. The record is from RNAcentral.